Daphnia pulicaria is the source of this 3208-nucleotide long non-coding RNA. RefSeq lists it as uncharacterized. The record is from RefSeq and is a predicted model, not a curated record. The transcript has 10 exons. Lineage: Eukaryota; Metazoa; Arthropoda; Branchiopoda; Diplostraca; Daphniidae.
UUCAUUUCCGUUCCGUAGCUUUUUUCUGAGUUCUCUUUCUGAGCAUGUCGAGUCAAGUACUUCGCGAGCAUGCUUCUGAGACGAAGGGACGCCAUCACGCCAAUAAAGGUUUGAAGAAUUUGUUGCUACUUUACUUCUGGCAUGUCUCAUCCAAUGCAUAAUCACUUCAUAGCAAAGGCUAUGUUUGCUAAGAAGUGAAACUCAGCCCCUUCUUGCCUUCUGUUUCCUUAAAUGUCAAAUCAGUGGCUCCACUCAUGACAGAAAUUAAAUGCCUUUGAAUCUGGUCAAGUGAGUAUGAUUGAGUAGCGUAACUGAGUUCAUUUCAUAGUUGUUUUCUGUGUUCUCCUCUUUGUGAGUUGUGCAACCCUAUAGUGCAGGAAUAAUAUUGAAUCAUUCUGGAGAAAAUGCCUGCUUGCUGUCAAUAAUGCCUUGGCAAUUAAUGCAUGUAUUUGGCUCAUUUGAUCCUAACUCUGGAAACUAGAUGAAGUUAAUCCAUCAGAUUGGUUCCGCUGAACUCAGAUCCUCUGAUAAAUUUGGUGGGAAAAUUCAGCAGUUUGCAAUUUGCAUGCCACAUCUUCUUAGAACUUUCGUCCAGUGAAUUCAUCCAUCCAGUACAACAAGUUGCAUCAAUUCCACAGCUAAUAAAAGAUUUGGGCAGGAAAAUUAGAAGUGGAUAAACUCUUCUCUUUAAUUCGUAUUUAACAGCGGGCAACUUUGAUAAAUGAGUGAACUAUUACUUCAUACCAUCGACAACGAAAUCGUCCCCUGUUGGAAUGUAGGAUGUAAGGGAACAAAUUCGUAUUUUCAAGUUUGCGAUAAUGGUAAUCCUGACCCAGUGUCUCGACUGCGAACAACUCCAACUGGGAAAAAGCUGUCUUUCCUCUUCAGCUGAUUGACCGCAUUUAGUCAUCUUCAAUUUGAUUCCCUUGACAGUAAUUGUGAAGCAUGAGCGACAGCCGGGAACAGCAGCAGUGUCCUUCCAUGGCAAUGAUCUCCAGUUCAUCAGCUGCUGCAUAAUUAUCUUCGGAUCACGAGCUUAUUAUUCGCCCUUUCUGUUUGUUUGAUAAUUAUUUGUUUGGCCAGUUGCGUCGAUUCCAACAAUUGCUGCCCAUGUCACCGCACUACUUCCGCCACUAGACGCCAAGUGGGAAAAGGACUUCAAACGUUUUAUUCAUCGUUGAUAUUUCGCAGGCGUUAGUACUCCGGGAAAGAGCCGACAGCUAAAGUCUGCCCCCAAUUCUCCUAAUCCAGAUAACGAAGUCCUUUUUUCCCAUAGGAAAUUGCGCCGGAUCACCGCCGACCUGCUUGUGACUUACCUCUAAUCGAUAUUUUCGAUGUGAAAACGGAGCGACACAGGAAGAAGAAAUGAAGAGAAGGCAUUGACAUCCUGUAUCUACCUUGUCUGUGGUUUUGGUAUUGAGUUCGACCCGGUGGUGCAGCACUUCUACUGGAUAGACUGGAGAUAACUAACAAUUCGUCAUGCGCUAGAUAACAGGACUCAGGCUUCAGUCGUUAUGGCCAAUCCAACACUAGUUCUCUUUUGGAGUUGCUCUAGAAUAAAUGCCAUCAACGCUACCAGAAUCGAUAGUCAUAUUUCUGUUGGUAUUCUGGUUGGAGGUCCGUCUUCACCACCGUCGUCCCAAAUCGAAUGGUGCCGUAUACGACGGCAAAAUCGCGACAAGAUAAGAGAAAUAGAUAUCGACUAACCUUCAGCGCCGACUAUCGACACAGAAGAGAAGAUGAUAUUUUGAGCUGACACCAAACAACCGCAGGAAGUUGACCUCUUCUAAAUUAGUUAAGUCUACAGCAUCAACAGUUCACGGACAGCACAAUUAUUUGUUGGAGAAAGAAGGUGGUGGAGAAAACGGCGUUCCAUUCCCAGGAGGUACGCAGAUAUUGGAAACGAGUGAUCGAAUACCAUUUCCUUUUUAACUUGUGUUGAAGAGUGGCCAGCUGUAAAUCACAAAUAGAUUAUCCGAGUCCGAGCAUAUGGAAUAAGAAUUAUUCAGAUCACAAAGAUGAACUAUCAGCCCAAAUCAGAAAAUGCAACUGACGACCGGUAAAGUUUUGUUCGCGCUGGAAGAAUAACGGAAACAUCUCCAACUCUUCUACCGAUUUCCGAUGGAGUUCUGCUAUGUUACCCAUGUUAGUUCUAAGAAGGAAAAAUUUUAGGGUUGUGCAGCCUACUGUCCACUUUCAGAUUUUCAGAUCAUUCUAUUCUACUGAAUGUGAAUCAAAAUAAUAUAGGAUUUAUCUCUCAUUCCAUCUUCUGGAGAACUUAGGUUUAUUCAUGUCAUGUCACUGAACCAAAUCGUCGAAUAUCGCCAAUCUGCAGAAGUGAGCAUGUGACAAACUCAAUUUUUGAAGUUUUUUUUUUUUUUUCUUCGAAAGGUUGGGUUAGAAUAUUUUUCUCAAAGUUGGGGCAUUUUUUGGGGUUGGAAUUUCCUUAUGGCGACGUUUUGAAGUAAUAGCCAAUAUGUAAGUAACGAAGGCGGUAAAUUUGUUUUCUACGUUUUAUCCAUAUUACGAUUACAAGUUGUUGAAGGUUGUUUUCUUGUUAAAAGGUAGGGAUAGAAUUUUUUGUUUAAAAGGUUAGGGCAUGGGUUGGGGUUAGAAUUUUUGUCAAAAGGUAGGGUAAAAAUUCGUCCACCAGAGGGGUUUGGUGUUGUAGUCAGUACAUACAUGGUACAUAAGUCAAGGCAUUCAGAUGCUAACUGUAGAACUGGGACGCUGCACGGUUUGCGUUUUAGCAUGUCAGGGAACUUUAUAGUUUUGCAUCGUGAAGAUUAAAGGCAUUUCUUUUUGGUUGUCAUCUGUGAAUACUGUUGUGUAUGUGAAUUAAAUGUAUUAUCUAGUCGUGUGAAUCUGAAGGUAUCUUUUCUAAUAACUUCUGCAAUCUUGUCUUGUGUGACUCAAAUAAUUUGCUUCAUUUUCAUCUAAAUUUCAAUUUUGUGACAUGAUUGUUUUCUUUCUUGUCUUAUUUUGUUUUUACAUCUGGUUAAUGAUUAUGUAUCCUAACAGGACUUGCUGACGGUGUUAAUAAAAUUGUCAAUCUGCUGCAUGCAUUUCAUGAUGCCGGUGUUAUCCAGAAAUGUUGCAGGGAGGCUUGGAGCAUAGAUGCAAGAAAACCUCUAGAAAUGAGUUGGUGGAAAUCUAAAGUGGUUUUGCUGUUGUUGUAUAUUAAUUAUUAGUACAAGUUUUAAACCAA